This 724-nucleotide ribosomal RNA is filed under the name uncultured bacterium. Its description in RNAcentral is "bacterial SSU rRNA". It matches the Rfam family "Bacterial small subunit ribosomal RNA", at positions 8 to 769 of the family's 1533-position model. The record is from RNAcentral.
AGGGUUUGGAUCAUGGCUCAGCCUAAACGCUGGCGGCAUGGCUAAAGCAUGCAAGUCGCACGAGAAGCAACUUCGGUUGUGGACAGUGGCGAAAGGGCGAGUAAUGCGAUCGAAUGUGCCCCGAGGUGGAGGAUAGGUCAGAGAAAUCUGGCGUAAUACUCCAUGUCCUCUACGGAGAAAAGGUUUACCGCCUUGGGAGCAGCGAUCGUCCUAUCAGGUUGUUGGUGAGGUAAAGGCUCACCAAGCCAAAGACGGGUAGCGGGUGUGAGAGCAUGACCCGCCGCAUCGGGACUGAGACACUGCCCGGACUCCUACGGGAGGCUGCAGCGACGAAUCUUCCGCAAUGGGCGAAAGCCUGACGGAGCAAUGCCGCGUGUGGGAUGAAGCGCCUCUGGUGUGUAAACCACUGUCAGAUUCUAGAAACAAUGAUCAGAGUCAAAGGAAGGGCCGGCUAACCUCGUGCCAGCAGCCGCGGUAAUACGAGGGGCCCAAGCGUUAGGCGGAAUCACUGGGCUUAAAGCGUACGCAGGCGGAUUUGCAAGCGUCUUGUGAAAACCCACGGCUCAACCGUGGAAGUGCAGGGCGAACUGCAAGUCUUGAGGCAGGUAGGGGUCAACGGAACUGUCGGUGGAGCGGUGAAAUGUGUAGAUAUCGACAGGAACGCCGGUGGCGAAGGCGGUUGACUGGGCCUGUCCUGACGCUCAGGUACGAAAGCGUGGGGAGC